CAAGCAGGAGGCAGUGCUCUCUCAGUCUUUAAACGUGCGCAGCUGAGCUUUGUAGAUUGUAAAGUGUUUCAGACCCAUACAGGCUAAGCAGCGACUCUGAGGGAUCCUUAUCUGGUCUAUCAGUGACUCUAGGCAGCAGGUAGAGGAAGAAGCUAUUUCCUCAUGGACCCUAACACUACCAGCGCGGGCAGCGUGCAGUAUGACCGCUGGAACGAGGACAACAUCAACAUGGACGUAAAGGCAUCAUCACAGACUACUUCACAGAGGAUCUACAGCAGUGUGUGUAACGGCAGCUCUGGAGUAGCAGUGAAGACGGCCGGAGCUUUGGCUGCAUUGGUGUCCAUCUACAUUAUAGGAUACGUAACGGGAUACUACGUCCAUAGGUGCUGAUGGUGGAUCAUUAUGAUUUUGGAUAAACUUUUUUGAAUAAAAGUCCCAAAGGUUUAUGUAAGUCAUCAGAGCAGAAGUCUUUGUGUUGCUUUUUCAUCACUUCACUUGCAUCAUGUUAACCCUGACUUGCUUUAUGGUCAUGUUUUUGGCUUUAGGACAACUAGUUUCAACAUUAUUUUUGUUUUAUUAGAGGGAUAACUGCUUCAUGGUAAUUGCUUAUCGUUGUUGCUGGUUUAGCAUCAAAAGUCCUUACAGUUCUGAGGAUUUCCAAGCCACUCCUUUCCUUUUCCAAAUCUAAAAUUCAUUUUGGUUACCAGUUUCUAGAAUGGUCUAAUGAUCCGGCCAAAAGACAAGACAUCUGUGGUAUUGAACUCCCAGUGUCUUUAAAUUAUUUUCAGGAAAAAGGUAAUCUUCUGCACAGGUGAUGAUACGUUUUUUAAGAACUGUGUAGUUUAAUUGAGCAGCUAUAACCAAUGCAGGUGAAUCAACGACUAAAUCCCAGACUUUAUUUAGAUAAAAUGUGGAGCUUUAUAAAUAAUAUUGUUACAACAAAAAAGAACUAAACUAUUGAUUGGACAUUUUUUAAAUGGAUUUGCUCUCAAAUGCAAACUAACUUCUGGAUUUCCA
Trematomus bernacchii (emerald rockcod) is the source of this 1017-nucleotide long non-coding RNA. RefSeq lists it as uncharacterized. The transcript is spliced from 3 exons. NCBI's taxonomy places the organism in Eukaryota, Metazoa, Chordata, Actinopteri, Perciformes, Nototheniidae. The record is from RefSeq and is a predicted model, not a curated record.